UAGUAGUAAAACCUGUAAAAUUUUGGCAUAAUCCAACCUGAUAUAGAAAAUACUUUUGACAAAACCAUGAUCUUUUCAAAUUAAAUAAGAGCUACAAUAGCUUAUUAACUACAAAUGUAUUGCCAUUUUCUUAAAAUGUACCAAUUCCUUGGACACCAAAUGUGCUGCAUUUCUGAGGUCCAGAAACCAGCACACAAGUCUUUCACCUGUCAAUCAACUAUAGCAAAAAUCAUGUAACAUGAAAAUGUAAAGGUAAAGGUAAAUUAAUCCAAAUUCCAAGCUAACAAAAACAAAGACAAGGCAUCACCAGUAUAUCCCUUGAGCUUGAAAUUAAGACAUGAAACCACAGAAUUUCCAAGGCUAGAACUAUCACAGUGGAACAAUCUGCUGGCUUAUCUGUACUCAGCCUCCGUCUCCGCGAAAAUAAUGCUAUCCAAGUUUACAUGGAGAAAAUGUGCUGCAGUCGUCUUUUUGAACAUAUACUAGGCGAAGGGGAAAAGGGAGAAACCCCCAGAAAGAAUAGAAAUGGGUGGCAUGGGAACGAUCUCAAUCACAGACGAGUCCAAAACCUGAUCAUGAAGAAGCAUAUGCUGCCGUUUAAAGUUCACUCCCAUCCACCCAUUUCCACUCGCCUCUGGGAGGCUUAUUCUCCCAUUCCAUAUCAGCUUAGCUAUCUCCACGGAAUUGAAUUGUGC
This 695-nucleotide unclassified non-coding RNA is filed under the name Hevea brasiliensis (rubber tree). The record is from RNAcentral. Lineage: Eukaryota; Viridiplantae; Streptophyta; Magnoliopsida; Malpighiales; Euphorbiaceae.